GCCCUGAGGGAGGAGGUGGCAUGGGGGGUCAGGGCUGGAGACUGGGCGAACACAGAACCCCCACUCAUAAGGACAAAGCUGCUUUCUCCCCUCCCACCUCCAUCUGUUCUCUCAUCCUGCAGCCUCCAGGGGCUUCCAGAACCCGGAGACACUGGCUGACAUUCCGGCCUCCCCACAGCUGCUGACCGAUGGCCACUACAUGACGCUGCCCCUGUCUCUGGACCAGCUGCCCUGUGACGACCCCAUGGCGGGCGCGGAGGCGCCCCCGUGCUGCGGGUGGGCCAUGACCACGGCUGCCACCAGCAGCCCUUCUGCAACGCGCCCCUCCCUGGCCCUGGACCCUAUCGGGUGAAGUUCCUCCUGAUGGACACCAGGGGCUCACCCAGGGCUGAGACCAAGUGGUCAGACCCCAUCACUCUCCACCAAGGGAAGACCCCCGGAUCCAUCGACACCUGGCCAGGGCGGCGAAGUGGCAGCAUGAUCGUCAUUACCUCCAUCCUCUCUUCUCUGGCCGGCCUCCUACUCUUGG
Molecule: small RNA, 529 nt
Filed under: Pan troglodytes (chimpanzee)
Lineage: Eukaryota; Metazoa; Chordata; Mammalia; Primates; Hominidae
Description: retained intron
Source: RNAcentral